RNAcentral lists this long non-coding RNA (233 nucleotides) under Capsicum annuum. RNAcentral describes it as "long non-coding RNA (CANN_LNC014931)". The record is from RNAcentral. Lineage: Eukaryota; Viridiplantae; Streptophyta; Magnoliopsida; Solanales; Solanaceae.
UCUUUACAAAUAUUGCUAGAAUUACCAAAACAAAGAAGUGCGUCUCCUUGCAAAUGCCGCUUGAAUUACCAUGGGUUUGAAUACCAAAUAUGUGCAACAACAUUGCCUCUUGCAUUUGUAGAAGUGAGAAUAUUACGGCCCUUGAUGUUUAGGCUUUGAAAUCGUUGAUUUGAAGGUAGCAUGUAUUCCUAUUUCAUACAAAGAAAACUUGUUAGUUUAAAAACAUGGUGGUU